AAAUUUAGGUUAACACAAACCAAGAGCCUUCAAAGCCCUAAAUAUCGAGCUGACACCUCAUAAUUUCUG
RNAcentral lists this transfer RNA (69 nucleotides) under Hemiphyllodactylus sp. 4 PLW-2014. Its description in RNAcentral is "tRNA-Trp". The record is from RNAcentral. Lineage: Eukaryota; Metazoa; Chordata; Lepidosauria; Squamata; Gekkonidae.